Paenibacillus alvei DSM 29 is the source of this 108-nucleotide non-coding RNA. NCBI's taxonomy places the organism in Bacteria, Bacillati, Bacillota, Bacilli, Caryophanales, Paenibacillaceae. The record is from Rfam.
ACCUUAUCAAGAGUGACUGAGGGACUAGGCCCUAUGACGUCCGGCAACCUUACUAGUGAGUAAACGGUGCUAAAUCCUACGGAAUGAUUCCAUUCUGAGAGAUAAGUG